GGACUACCGGGGUUUCUAAUCCUGUUUGCUCCCCACGCUGUCGCGCCUCAGUGUCAGCCACUGCCCAGCCGGCCGCCUUCGCCACUGGUGUUCCUCCGGAUCUCUACGCAUUCCACCGCUACACCCGGAAUUCCACCGGCCUCUACAGUGCUCGAGCCUCGCAGUCCGCACGGCCGAUCCGGGGUUGAGCCCCGGACUUUCACCGCCCGCUUACAAGGCCACCUACGCGCCCUUUACGCCCAGUGAUUCCGGACAACGCUCGCACCCUCCGUAUUACCGCGGCUGCUGGCAC
Molecule: ribosomal RNA, 292 nt
Filed under: uncultured bacterium
Lineage: Bacteria
Description: partial 16S ribosomal RNA
Source: RNAcentral